GCGGGUUUCGGCGCCCGCGGUCGGCGCUGCCGUCGUGUCUAGUGCGCGCCCCUCUGACCGGCGCCAUGAGAGCGGCCUCGCCGGUGGAUCUCAUGGACAAUGCGUGCAUCAUUAACCUUCUAUAGUCCUCCGCGGCGAAUCGCAUCACGUCGCCGGCCAUCUAGCCGUUCCCCUUUGCGGUGUGCAGCAGCGCCGGCAACUCCUAUCCAUCUACCAAAGAAAGUGGCAUUAUCUUAUCCAUUCAGUAUGCAUCUUUUCCUCUUUACUGUGCGUUUGCACGAACAGAAUGAAUGGCCAUUUUGAAUCACUUGGUGACAUAAUAAUUCGUGGGAUGUAAACUUUGUCACCAAUGUUAGUACCUGUUAUGACCUGGCCUUCGAUGAAACGCUUUCCUAGCUGUGUUAUUGUUAGUCUUGUCCCAUUGCAAAGUCCUGCACUUUGAUUGAUGUUCCUCAUAAGCAUUACUGGAAUUUGACUCAUGAUGUAGGUGUUAAUCUAGUCAACAGUCUCGUUCCUUGGGCACAGGAUCGCUCUUUCCUCUAGUCUUCAUCAUCUAUUGUUGCCGUUGUGCCAUCGCCGAUGUUUAGUAUCCAGUUUGCAAAUUCAGCUGUCUUUGCUUUCUCUUUUGGACUACCUUCAGAUGAAUUCAGACGCAUAUUUUCUGAUUUGUCUGAAGUCACCUCCCAAGACUACUGUCAUUCCUCCAAACGGUCUAUGCUCGGCAUCCUCAUUUGUGAAUCGAAAAUCGAACUAUCUGGUAGUGGCAUUCCUGGAAAUUCUUUGAGGGACUUACCACCUUUAGCCAAUAGGUGUUCGAUCUCUGCCAAGAGGAGGCUCUUUAUUUGCAAUGAGAUCAGUCACCUCGCAAAAUAAAAGUAUUGUGCAGAAAAGUUGGCGCAUUUGAGGAGCAGAGGCCCAAUGGGAUGCUUCCUUGAUGCAGUCAUCCCACUCCUUGUCGUCAUUAAGUAGCCCAAGAGAAUAACAUGCAGAUUUGUAUGUUGGAUGUACAACCCCAUCAACUGUUCGGAUUUCUUCAUAGGAUCUGCAUCCUUUCACGGUAUUUAGAAGCAUUCUCAAGUAGUAUUUUUCACCGAUUGUUGGUUGUGCAUAGUAAAUCCUGCCUAUGGUUUUUUUACCACCACGUCUCUUCCUCCAUUCUUUCUCUUUUGCAUGCCAAGUCCAUUUGGUUGGAAACUGUGCAUACGUCAAACUGCGAGCUUCCUCAUGCAAUUGGUUGGCUGUCAUCCAUUCUGUGAACAUUGUAUUUUCUAUGUUAGGCCGAGAUAUGAUUUUAUCUAAAUCCAUCGAGUCUGGGAAUACCACAACAUGUUCAUUUUCUAGGUGAAAUUGUAACCUUUCAACCGCAGGCUCUCUAUACUGAAGAGGAAACUGAAAUAUGCGCCAUGCGGCUUCACAUCCAGAUAUGUACCGAGCAUCAAGCUGGAGUAUCUCUUUCCUUUUUCGUCUAGCUUCCUUCCUUGCUGCUCUGAUAAUAUCUGAUUGACUAUCAUUAGAUUCUACUGUCGCGAGCUGCGAGGUUCCUUGCUGAGGUACCGCAUUGUUUUGAAGGAUGUUGUCUGGAUCAAUCAGUUUCCUGGAAAUAUUCCUGUUCUCCUACUGAUAGUUUGCCAACAAAGAAUUGUAGAUCAUGUACAUGUGUUAUUACCUUUUAAGCAGAGGACAUACUAUAUGGUUUGUAAUUGGCAACUAAUUUUGAUGAUUGUUCAUCAAUUUCUCUGUAGUUGCAAUUAACAAAGCAUAUGUGAUGAGAUUACAGAGUUGAUGCAUAUAGUAGUGGAAGUUGGUAAUGAUUA
Triticum dicoccoides is the source of this 1814-nucleotide long non-coding RNA. RefSeq lists it as uncharacterized. The transcript has 10 exons. The record is from RefSeq and is a predicted model, not a curated record. NCBI's taxonomy places the organism in Eukaryota, Viridiplantae, Streptophyta, Magnoliopsida, Poales, Poaceae.